This 472-nucleotide ribosomal RNA is filed under the name uncultured bacterium. Its description in RNAcentral is "bacterial SSU rRNA". It matches the Rfam family "Bacterial small subunit ribosomal RNA", at positions 28 to 507 of the family's 1533-position model. The record is from RNAcentral.
GACGAACGCUGGCGGCGCGCCUAAUGCAUGCAAGUCGAGCGACGCAUGCUCGGUGGGUAACCACUGGGUAUGACGGAGCGGCGAACGGGUGAGUAACACGUGAGUAACCUGCCCCGAAGAUCGGGAUAGCCCGGGGAAACCCGGAUUAAUACCGAAUACCCUCUCUGGAUCGCAUGGUCCGGUGAGGAAAUGCCUUUGUGCUUCGGGAUGGACUCGCGGCCUAUCAGCUAGUCGGUGAGGUAACGGCUCACCAAGGCAACGACGGGUAGCUGGUCUGAGAGGACGAUCAGCCACACUGGGACUGAGACACGGCCCAGACUCCUACGGGAGGCAGCAGCAGGGAAUCUUGUCCAAUGGGCGCAAGCCUGAGACAGCGACGCCGCGUGAGGGAUGAAGGCCUUCGGGUUGUAAACCUCUUUCAGGAGGGACGAAAUUGACGGUACCUCCAGAAGAAGCCCCGGCCAACUACGUG